AAAAUAAUCCAUAUUCAUCAAUGUUUUCCAUGUGAAAAUAAAAAUCCUUUCCUGACCAGCUCUAGACAGUACGUAGCAGAACGCAGUUGGUAACGAAGCAAUGCUGUUCUCCUCCCAGAGACAGACGCUCUGCCAGAGAAACCAGCAGAAUGGAAACUAAUACCUUAACCCAACGGUCAGACUCGGUGUUUGUGCAGGACAAGUUUCUCUGAGGGGACGGCAUGUCAGAGACAGAUGUACUGGAGAGGAGCAGGGAACUUUUGGAGAUGGGACAGAUGCUGCAGCUGGUACAAGUUAGAAUGUUUCCAUUUUAGAAACAGCAUCAAAAGAGUGGCCUGGUGUUAUUUGACAAAGCUGCAUGUCUGCUGAGGAGAAAGGCCCACCACAUUUUCAAGACAUCAGCUUUCUAAAAAGAACUGGCUACUUUCCUCUUAGGAAAACAAUACCCUCUACCU
RNAcentral lists this long non-coding RNA (455 nucleotides) under Chrysemys picta bellii (western painted turtle). RNAcentral describes it as "lncRNA (ENSCPBG00000025154.1)". The record is from RNAcentral. Lineage: Eukaryota; Metazoa; Chordata; Testudines; Emydidae.